Molecule: long non-coding RNA, 425 nt
Organism: Bos taurus (domestic cattle)
Lineage: Eukaryota; Metazoa; Chordata; Mammalia; Artiodactyla; Bovidae
Source: Ensembl
AGGUAUCUGCUUAUUUGUUUUAUUUUGGCACAAAGACUUUUUUUGAAUGAAAUAUUACAAAAACAUCUGACUUUGAAAGAAUCAAACUGAGCUGUUGUGGUCAAGGUAGGAAUAUGGAAAGAGAGUCCAGUCCUUGGACUUGCCCUUCUUAACUUCUACAAUUGGCCCACUAGGUUUCACAGGGAAACGAGGAACUAAGAAAUAGAUUUCAUCAAAUUCGGAGAUGGGAGGAAAUGAAAUCUUAGCAAAGAAAACAAGUUAUGCCUCUGAAAUGAAUUGUAUGAGCAAGAAGAUAUAUCAGAUUACUGCAGAUUUAAAUACAAGGACCACAUGGACUGUCUUGCAUCAGCAAAGCAUGAAAGAUCACAUUUGUCAAAAAAAAAAAGAAGGCGGCAAGAGGGCCAGAGAACUUAGGGAUUAAGGGU